Molecule: non-coding RNA, 385 nt
Organism: Delphinapterus leucas (beluga whale)
Lineage: Eukaryota; Metazoa; Chordata; Mammalia; Artiodactyla; Monodontidae
Source: RefSeq, a predicted model, not a curated record
AGCUCUUGCAGUACCCUGGAACAUCGUUCACCAGGGCCAGGAUGGAUUUGCUGUACACAGGAGGGAUCCUUUUCACCUGCCAUGUCCCUAGGUGUGUGAGGAUCUACAAUGGAGCCGAAAGAAUUACAUCUUCCUGGUUCAUACUCAGAAGGAUGCAUCUUUCAACAUUUUGAGAAUAGAUGGAAGAAAAAGGCUUAAAAGUAAAAGUACCUUAAAACAUCUGAAUUUAAGAGGUCUCUAAGUCCACUGAUGACAGGAAAAUCUUCAGUGGUUCCAGAGACAAACGGCUGGAAAUCCUGCACAUUUAUUUUCUAGAAGGAAGUGAGCCGAUGAGGAUAGUGAUCUCUUCUGAGAGAUCCUCCCUUUAAAAAUCUGUAAAGGGGCU